UGGGCAAGUUUGGUCUUGGCUUGAAGUUGGGUUAGGUCUCAUUUCACACAUGAUACUUUAUGGGGUUUGGGAGGUAGCGGGCUGAAGAAAGCGUUUAAAAAGCGUUUUUGGUGUGCUUCUUGGUGGUGACUAUUAGGUUAGGCCUAGGAUGGUUAGUCUAGUUUCCCCAACGUCAGUGGAAAGUGUUGGCCCAUGCUAGGAAUAGUGAGCCAGUUGGGACGUUAAAAGAAAGGGAAGAGCAGUGCCAGCACCUGCGGUUAAACUGCGUUCUUUUCCAAUUUUUUCGCACAUAAGUAAAAGUUAAAUGGUGAGUUGUGGGCAGAGAGUUAAGUGUUUAAAACAGCUAGCUGUUCUAAAAAAGUUGCUCGUAAGCUUAAGUCUUAGAAGUCUGCUAACAGACCGGGAUUAGAGACCCUGUUAUAAAUGAUGUAAAUAUUUGUGUGGUAAGUACGAGCAAAGGCUUAAAAAUCAAAAGACUUGGCAGUGUGCAAUAUUUGUUUAGGGGAACUUGACGGUUAAAUCGAUAAUCCUCGAAGAUCUUACCUGUUCUAGUCUUGCCAUACCGCCGUUUGCAGUAGGAAUUAAAAGAUAGGAGAUUUUUACAUAGAAGCUAUGGUUUAGCUUGAAAUUCAGGUACACGUGGCGGUUAUGAACAGGGCUUAGUUGAGUUACAGUGUGUUUCGCGGGAAGGGGGAUGAAAUCACCCCUGGAACAGGGACUUAAUAGUAAUUUUUUUGUAGGGAAGAAAAGUGAAUCUGACACUUGUGCAUGUACAAAUUGCCCGGUGCCCCCAGAUACCUAAGCUGGGGUAAGCCGUAACAUGGUAAUGCUACUAGAAAGUGGCGUUAAUUAA
RNAcentral lists this ribosomal RNA (853 nucleotides) under Gari togata. RNAcentral's name for it is "12S ribosomal RNA". It matches the Rfam family "Microsporidia small subunit ribosomal RNA". Lineage: Eukaryota; Metazoa; Mollusca; Bivalvia; Cardiida; Psammobiidae. The record is from RNAcentral.